AGCUAAUAGAUACCCAGGUAGUCCACGCCCUAAACGAUGUCUACUAGUUGUUGGUGGAGUAAAAUCCAUGAGUAAACGCAGCUAACGCGUGAAGUAGACCGCCUGGGGAGUACGGUCGCAAGAUUAAAACUCAAAGGAAUUGACGGGGGCCCGCACAAGCGGUGGAUUAUGUGGAUUAAUUACGAUGCAACGCGAAAACCUUACCUGGCCUUGACAUGCCACUAACGAAGCAGAGAUGCAUUAGGUGCCCGUAAGGGAAAGUGGACACAGGUGCUGCAUGGCUGUCGUCAGCUCGUGUCGUGACGAUGUUGGGUUAAGUUCCCGCAACGAGCGCAACCCUUGCCAUUAAUUGUCCAUCAUUU
This 362-nucleotide ribosomal RNA is filed under the name uncultured bacterium. RNAcentral describes it as "bacterial SSU rRNA". It matches the Rfam family "Bacterial small subunit ribosomal RNA", at positions 767 to 1127 of the family's 1533-position model. The record is from RNAcentral.